CACACGACUCUUGGCAACGGAUAUCUCGGCUCUCGCAUCGAUGAAGAACGUAGCGAAAUGCGAUACCUGGUGUGAAUUGCAGAAUCCCGUGAACCAUCGAGUCUUUGAACGCAAGUUGCGCCCGAGGCCAUCCGGCCGAGGGCACGCCUGCCUGGGCGUCACGC
Molecule: ribosomal RNA, 164 nt
Filed under: Oryza minuta
Lineage: Eukaryota; Viridiplantae; Streptophyta; Magnoliopsida; Poales; Poaceae
Description: 5.8S ribosomal RNA
Rfam family: 5.8S ribosomal RNA
About the family: 5.8S ribosomal RNA (5.8S rRNA) is a component of the large subunit of the eukaryotic ribosome.
Source: RNAcentral